Molecule: non-coding RNA, 24 nt
Filed under: Arabidopsis thaliana (thale cress)
Lineage: Eukaryota; Viridiplantae; Streptophyta; Magnoliopsida; Brassicales; Brassicaceae
Source: RNAcentral
UGAGCGACCUGAUUGUUAUCUGCC